Molecule: ribosomal RNA, 422 nt
Filed under: uncultured bacterium
Lineage: Bacteria
Description: bacterial SSU rRNA
Rfam family: Bacterial small subunit ribosomal RNA
Source: RNAcentral
AGAAUUUUUCACAAUGGGCGAAAGCCUGAUGGAGCGACGCCGCGUGGGGGAUGAAUGGCUUCGGCCCGUAAACCCCUGUCAUUUGCGAACAAACCUUACUAGCUAACAACUGGUGAGCUGAUUGUAGCGACAUAGGAUGGUACGGCUAACUCUGUGCCAGCAGCCGCGGUCAUACAGAGGUCCCAAGCGUUGUUCGGAUUCACUGGGCGGAAAGGGUGCGUAGGUGGUGAGGUAAGUCGGAUUUGAAAUCUCCGGGCUCAACCCGGAAAUGGCAUUGGAAACUACCUUGCUUGAGGAUUUGAGGGGGGAUUGGAAUACUUGGUGUAGCAGUGAAAUGCGUAGAUAUCAAGUGGAACACCAGUGGCGAAGGCGAAUCCCUGGAAAAUACCUGACACUGAGGCACGAAAGCUAGGGGAGCAAAC